UAAUAUAACACAUGUUAUACUUUUUCACUUCAAUAAUCAGACAACAAAUUUUCUCUUUUACCAGCCUACUAGUAUCCUUGGGGAUCCAUAAGGGGUCUCUGCUACUCGUGAACUAUUAACAUUAAUAACUUGAUUCCAGGGCCGUCCCCAUACCCAGUCCGGUAUGAGGGUGAAAUGGGCCGUCCCCAUACCCUGUCCGAUAUCGGCGCCAAAACCAU
This 218-nucleotide long non-coding RNA is filed under the name Carica papaya (papaya). RNAcentral's name for it is "long non-coding RNA (CPAP_LNC016062)". Lineage: Eukaryota; Viridiplantae; Streptophyta; Magnoliopsida; Brassicales; Caricaceae. The record is from RNAcentral.